This 71-nucleotide transfer RNA is filed under the name Bos taurus (domestic cattle). It matches the Rfam family "tRNA". From Rfam's summary of the family: Transfer RNA (tRNA) molecules are approximately 80 nucleotides in length. Their secondary structure includes four short double-helical elements and three loops (D, anti-codon, and T loops). Further hydrogen bonds mediate the characteristic L-shaped molecular structure. tRNAs have two regions of fundamental functional importance: the anti-codon, which is responsible for specific mRNA codon recognition, and the 3' end, to which the tRNAs corresponding amino acid is attached (by aminoacyl-tRNA synthetases). tRNAs cope with the degeneracy of the genetic code in two manners: having more than one tRNA (with a specific anti-codon) for a particular amino acid; and 'wobble' base-pairing, i.e. permitting non-standard base-pairing at the 3rd anti-codon position. The record is from Rfam by way of RNAcentral. Lineage: Eukaryota; Metazoa; Chordata; Mammalia; Artiodactyla; Bovidae. RNAcentral also lists the same sequence under 3 other names.
UCCCUGGCAGUCCAGUGGUUAGGACUCCAUGCUUUCACUGCUGAGGGCCUGGUUCAAUCCUGGCCAGGGAA